Molecule: ribosomal RNA, 367 nt
Filed under: uncultured alga
Lineage: Eukaryota
Description: partial 23S ribosomal RNA
Rfam family: Bacterial large subunit ribosomal RNA
Source: RNAcentral
GCUUGUGACUGUAUCCUGGAAUUGGGUUUCGCGCUUUUUCUUGCGCAGUCUAGGUGGCAGGCUAUGAAGAUUUCCUUCCGGGAAUUAGAGCCAUCAGUGAGAGACCACUCUGGAAGAACUAAAAUUCUAGAUGGCGUUCUUGAAUCAGGACGCUUGACAUUGACAGGUGGGCAGUUUUUCUGGGGCGGAAGCCUCAUAAAGCGUAACUGAGGCGCGCAAAGGUUCCUCCAGUCUGGAUGGAAUCAGACAUUGAGUGUAAAGGCAGACAGGGAGUUCUGAUUGCAAGCAACAAGUCGAGCAGGGCGAAAGCCGCCUUAGUGAUCCGACGGGGCGAGUGGAAGGGCCGUCGCUCAACGGAUAAAAGUUA